RNAcentral lists this transfer RNA (451 nucleotides) under uncultured Pelagibacterales bacterium. Its description in RNAcentral is "partial 16S-23S ribosomal RNA intergenic spacer". The stretch from base 109 to 182 matches the Rfam family "tRNA". Lineage: Bacteria; Pseudomonadati; Pseudomonadota; Alphaproteobacteria; Candidatus Pelagibacterales. The record is from RNAcentral.
CCUCCUUUCUAAGGAAAUCGAAAAUAAUAUUUUCGAUUUAAAAAAAACCGGUAAUGUGACCGUCCUCAUUUCUCUUCUUUUAAUGUCUCUGACUAAAAAUAAUGUAAUGGGCUAGUAGCUCAGUUGGUUAGAGCGCGCGCUUGAUAAGCGUGAGGUCGGAGGUUCAAGUCCUCCCUGGCCCACCAUUUUUUAUAGGGGGAUUAGCUCAGCUGGGAGAGCGCCUGAUUUGCAUUCAGGAGGUCGUCGGUUCGAUCCCGAUAUCCUCCACCAUGACUAGUUGAUUAUCUUUUUUUGUUCUUUAAAUAGUAAAUAUGAAAUUAAUAACUGAUCAAAUAAUUAAAAUUUAAGAUUAAAAUACGUAUAGGUUUUUCUCUGUACGUAAUUGCAAUCAAGCGCAAAAGGGCAUUUAGUGGAUGCCUUGGCAUCAAGAGACGAUGAAGGACGUGGCAGG